AAUCUGAAAUCGACUGGCUGCUCUCUCGCCCAAGAUUUUACAACCCCCGCAUAUUUUUAUCUCCUUUCACGGAACAAAACUCGAUCCGUUCAAGAAAACGGUGAAAUCUUUGCCGAAUCCCCCCCAGUUCCUCGGAGACGGUCCAAAAAAGGGAAGUUCUUCCAUCUCCUUCUCUUCUCCAUUUUGAAACUAAGAUUAGCUUGUGCUUCUUGCUCAAAUUGCCGUUCUCUGUUUCACUUUUGCGGAGCUACAUGCAAGCUCCGAGCUUUUUACCCAGUUGUGCGCUUGGUUGACUCACGAUUUUGGGGAAUCGUUUCUGUGUUUGCAUAGCGAGUUGCUGAGUUUUGGUACCAAUUCUUUUUCGAGACCUUUUUGAAAGAGCUAUUGAUUUUCUGAAGCUCUUCUGAGUAUAGCACACUGUGUAGAAAUGGAUCGACCACCGGACGAAUUCAGUAGUUUCAUUGAUGGGUAUGUAGUGGAUGAUGGGGAUGAUGCCGCCUUUUCGAUUUUUCCAGAGGAUGAUCUUGUCAGUAGGCUCACCAUCGACGACAUGUUCGAUAAGUUCAGCUGUAGCUACACGUACGCUCCUCCUUUGGGCGGUAACCUCGGGAAGGAACCGGCUGAGGACUAUGACUUUAGUGAUGCAGCUCUCAAGUACAUCAACCAGAUGCUUAUGGAGGAAGACAUAGAAGAGAAGAGUAUCGUGUGUCAUGAGGCCUCAGCACUCGAGGCCGCCGAGAAAUCAUUCUAUGAGGUCAUUGGGGAGAGGUAUCCGCCCGCUGCAGAUCAGCAUCCGUCACCUAGUCGAACCAAUGAGAGCUCGUGUAAUAGCUGCACUAGUGCAAUUACCUUGGUUGAGUCAGAGCCAAACUGUGAAUCACAAGAGCAUUUGGUGUCUCAGUCCAUCUCAUCGCCAAUUGACCAGUCAUUGGGUGGUGUCUAUCUCAAUAUCACUACCGCUGGACAUGCUGAAUCUCCAGUGAGUGCCGUUUCUUUGCCUGAACUUAUUGGAAGUGAGUCAGUUAUGCAGUUCAAGGGCAAUGGUGAAGAAGCUAGAGAGUCGCUCGCUUUUGGAAAUGAAAUUUUAGUAUAUCCGGAGAGGGGUGAAUUUUCCUUCAGUGAACAGACUGAGGAGUGUACAAGUUUGAUUCCCAAUCUAGAGAACAAUGAGAACAUAUUUGCUGACCUUGGAGGAUACAGGGGAAAGAAAAAUCCUUUGCAGGGGGAUGUGAACUUAGAAGAAGGAAGGGCAAGCAAGCAUUUGUCAGUUUACACCGAAUCAACUGUGAGGUCGGAGAUGUUCGAUACGGUGUUGCUCAAUCGUAAAGGAAGCGAAGCCGCCCUUCGCGAAGCUCUACGGAACGGGAUGCAGAAUGGCAAACCGAAAGCACCGAACGAGGGGAAGGCCCGCGGCAAGAAGCAAGGCAGGCGUAAGAGGGAUGUGGUCGACUUGACAGCUCUUUUGACGCUUUGUGCACAAGCCGUUAAUAUGGACGAUCGAGGAAGCUCUGGUGAGCUGCUCAAGCAGAUCAGAAGGCACGCGUCUCCCACAGGGGAUGGGAUGGAAAGGAUGGCACACUAUUUUGCAACUGGUCUCGAGGCACGCCUCGCCGGGUCAGGCUCUCAGAUUUACAAGGCUCUCAUGGCGAGGCCAACAUCGGUUGUAGACAUCUUGAAGGCUUAUCAUCUCUUUCUCGCAGCUUGUCCAUUUAAGAAGCUCUCAAAUUUCUUCUCAAACAAGACGAUAAUGAACGUGGCGGGGAAGGCACCCAAGUUGCACAUCAUUGAUUUCGGAAUUCUCUAUGGUUUCCAGUGGCCUGGCCUUAUAGAGCGUCUCUCAUUGAGCCCCGGAGGACCCCCUAAGCUUCGGAUUACUGGGAUUGAUCUGCCACAACCAGGAUUUAAACCAGAGGAAAUCGUUGAGGAAACUGGAAGACGCUUGGCGAGCUACGCCAAAACUUUCAAUGUCCCAUUCAAGUUUAAUGCUAUAGCGAAAAAUUGGGAUGCCAUUAAAGUUGAGGAGCUAGAUAUCCACAGCGAUGAAAUCCUUGUUGUGAACUGCAUAUAUAGAUUACAUCACAUACUCGAUGACACGGUGGUGGCGGAGAGUCCACGAGAUUUUGUACUGAAUCUGAUAAGAAAGAUGAAUCCAGCUGUUCUCAUUCAGGGAGUCAUAAAUGGUGGCCAUGGUGUUCCCUUUUUCAGCUUGCGGUUCCGGGCUGCGCUCUUCCAUUAUUCAGCCAUCUUUGACAUGCUCGACGCGACCGUACCUCGUGAUGCCCCAGAGAGGUUGCUGCUUGAGCGGGAGAUACUCGGGAGGCAGGCGAUGAAUGUCAUUGCCUGCGAAGGCUCGGAGAGGAUCGAGAGGCCCGAGACAUACAAAAUGUCGCACUCGCGAAACCUGAGGGCCGGGUUUAGGCAGCUACCCUUGGAUAAGGAUAUGGUGAGCUUGGCAAAGGAAAGGCUGAAAUCUUAUUACCAUAAGGAUUUUGAGAUUGAAGAAGAUGGGCAGUGGCUGUUGCAGGGCUGGAAGGGCAGGAUUGUCUAUGCGCUAUCGACCUGGAGGCCUGAUUGUUGAAUGUAUAAAUUGCCCGUCGAAAGUAGAUGAGGAAAGAUUUUCACAUCCUGCGUCUGAUUGGGCUCUUACUGUUUCAAUCGUACUGUCAGAAGGCAUUUCCAGAUAUGAAAGGUUUAGUGGGACAUGAGAGGAAUCCUGGAUUCUACACUAGCAGUGGCAUAGGAGCGACUGGCAUAGGAGUCACUCUUAACGCGAAUCAUAUUGCUGUGGUUUUUCCAUUAUCUUCAUAGUUGAAGAUUACGCGAUCUGGGAUGCUGUAACGUUGUUUUCACUAUGAAGGAAAAUCAAGCUGCGAUUAUCACUAUUGUUGGGGUUUGUUUCGGGAUCAUGUGAACUGAGAUGCUAUUAAGUUGUCUGCAAUGGAGGACAAUCAUGCUACAAUCAUCACUGGUGUGGUUUGUUUCGGGAUCCAAUCUUCCAGUUCGCAGAUUAGAUUUUCAUGAGCUCAGAGUCGCUUACAGAGAUAUCUCUGCCUUGAGUUGGCAGUCCUGAGGUCGAUGCCGUGAUGCAUGCUUUCAAGCAGCUCCUAUGAGAAGCAAAGCUGCUCAAAUGCUUCCCCGAGUGGAGCAACUUUUGGUCUCGAGCCUUAUUGUCGAUUGGUGUUCGAGCUAGUUUACACACGCAUCGGUUAGUGGAACAUCCCAAGCGAGUCAAUGGCACACAAGCCACACUUGGUCUAGAGAAAUUCCAUACUGAUGGAAAAUCCCAGGCUUGGGGUGGUUAGACGGAAGAGGCACCAGCAUGAAUCGUGAGUGCAACUGUUGAACAUCAUUCUUGAUUUACAACCUGGGCUUACAACCUUGAUACCGAGGAAUCUGAAAUCGAACUGGUUGUUCCCUCAACCAGAUUUACAACCUUUUGUUUUGUUUUGUUUUUUUUUUUUCCUGCGAACAAAGCUUGAUUGGUUCAAGGAAA
This is an RNA transcript of Rhodamnia argentea, 3493 nucleotides long. It is a transcript of the gene named scarecrow-like protein 9, with no coding region annotated. The record is from RefSeq and is a predicted model, not a curated record. Lineage: Eukaryota; Viridiplantae; Streptophyta; Magnoliopsida; Myrtales; Myrtaceae. The transcript is spliced from 2 exons.